This 287-nucleotide ribosomal RNA is filed under the name uncultured bacterium. RNAcentral's name for it is "partial 16S ribosomal RNA". It matches the Rfam family "Bacterial small subunit ribosomal RNA", at positions 335 to 616 of the family's 1533-position model. The record is from RNAcentral.
ACUCCUACGGGAGGCAGCAGUGGGGAAUAUUGCACAAUGGGCGCAAGCCUGAUGCAGCCAUGCCGCGUGUAUGAAGAAGGCUCGUUCGGAUGUAAGUUACUUCAGCGUGAAGGAGUGGGUAUGUUAAUAGCAUACUCAUUUGACGUUAGCUGCAGAAGAAGCACCGGCUAACUCCGUGCCAGCAGCCGCGGUAAUACGGAGGGUGCGAGCGUUAAUCGGAAUUACUGGGCGUAAAGCGCAUGCAGGUGGUUUGUUAAGUCAGAUGUGAAAGCCCGGGCUCAAGCCUC